AAAUUGAAGAGUUUGAUCAUGGCUCAGAUUGAACGCUGGCGGCAGGCCUAACACAUGCAAGUCGAACGGUAACAGGAAGCAGCUUGCUGCUUCGCUGACGAGUGGCGGACGGGUGAGUAAUGUCUGGGAAACUGCUUGAUGGAGGGGGAUAACUACUGGAAACGGUGGCUAAUACCGCAUAACGUCGCAAGACCAAAGAGGGGGACCUUCGGGCCUCUUGCCAUCAGAUGUGCCCAGAUGGGAUUAGCUUGUUGGUGAGGUAACGGCUCACCAAGGCGACGAUCCCUAGCUGGUCUGAGAGGAUGACCAGCCACACUGGAACUGAGACACGGUCCAGACUCCUACGGGAGGCAGCAGUGGGGAAUAUUGCACAAUGGGCGCAAGCCUGAUGCAGCCAUGCCGCGUGUAUGAAGAAGGCCUUCGGGUUGUAAAGUACUUUCAGC
This 443-nucleotide ribosomal RNA is filed under the name Salmonella enterica. RNAcentral describes it as "bacterial SSU rRNA". It matches the Rfam family "Bacterial small subunit ribosomal RNA", at positions 1 to 440 of the family's 1533-position model. The record is from RNAcentral. Lineage: Bacteria; Pseudomonadati; Pseudomonadota; Gammaproteobacteria; Enterobacterales; Enterobacteriaceae.